Molecule: non-coding RNA, 84 nt
Organism: Mycena metata
Lineage: Eukaryota; Fungi; Basidiomycota; Agaricomycetes; Agaricales; Mycenaceae
Source: the annotation of a GenBank genome assembly
UCCACUAUCGUUCAGUGGUUAAAGUCCCAGCAUUCGUGAAUUUGCGGAAGCAGGACGUCGGGGGUUCGAUUCCUUCGGGUGGCA